AGUGAACGCUGGCGGUAGGCCUAACACAUGCAAGUCGAACGGCAGCACAGUAAGAGCUUGCUCUUACGGGUGGCGAGUGGCGGACGGGUGAGGAAUACAUCGGAAUCUACUUUUUCGUGGGGGAUAACGAAGGGAAACUUACGCUAAUACAGCAUACGACCUACGGGUGAAAGCAGGGGAUCUUCGCACCUUGCGCGAUUGAAUGAGCCGAUGAUGGAUUAGCUAGUUGGCGGGGUAAAGGCCCACCAAGGCGACGAUCCGUAGCUGGUCUGAGAGGAUGAUCAGCCACACUGGAACUGAGACACGGUCCAGACUCCUACGGGAGGCAGCAGUGGGGAAUAUUGGACAAUGGGCGCAAGCCUGAUCCAGCCAUACCGCGUGUGUGAAGAAGGCCUUCGGGUUGUAAAGCCCUUUUGUUGGGAAAGAAAAGCAGCAGGUUAAUACCCCGCUGUUCUGACGGUACCCAAAGAAUAAGCACCGGCUAACUUCGUG
RNAcentral lists this ribosomal RNA (492 nucleotides) under uncultured bacterium. RNAcentral describes it as "partial 16S ribosomal RNA". It matches the Rfam family "Bacterial small subunit ribosomal RNA", at positions 29 to 507 of the family's 1533-position model. The record is from RNAcentral.